RNAcentral lists this ribosomal RNA (251 nucleotides) under uncultured prokaryote. Its description in RNAcentral is "partial 16S rRNA". It matches the Rfam family "Bacterial small subunit ribosomal RNA", at positions 525 to 775 of the family's 1533-position model. The record is from RNAcentral.
ACGGAGGGUGCAAGCGUUAUUCGGAAUUACUGGGCGUAAAGCGCGUGUAGGCGGUCCUGCAAGUCUGAUGUGAAAGCCCCGGGCUUAACCCGGGAAGUGCAUUGGAAACUGUGGGACUUGAGUACUGGAGAGGAUGGGGGAAUUCCCGGUGUAGAGGUGAAAUUCGUAGAGAUCGGGAGGAAUAUCAGUGGCGAAGGCGCCCAUCUGGACGGUAACUGACGCUGAGACGCGAAAGCGUGGGGAGCAAACAG